Molecule: long non-coding RNA, 484 nt
Filed under: Androctonus crassicauda
Lineage: Eukaryota; Metazoa; Arthropoda; Arachnida; Scorpiones; Buthidae
Source: RNAcentral
AUGGUCUUUUCCAAGAUGGUGGCUGACACAGUAAGUUUGAAUUUUUGUAGGGAUCAUGGGGAAAAGGAAGCGGACCACCCUCGACUAAAAAAGAUUAAAAUCCCCAAGUUUAAGCUAAAGGAAGAGAGAAGUAGGAAAAAAGAUCCACACCUCACAAAUGAAGGCAUUUUUACUUUCAUUCCAAAAUGCUGCACUCCUCUAGGGUGAUCUUGACCCAGAAUAGUCUGUUACCUGCAAGGCUGAAGAAAGUUUCUUGGUCAAAUUUGGUCCAGAGAGAUCAAAUGGUGCAAGAGCCUUUGCAGAACAGGCAAACAUUGCAUUUUAUACAUGUCAGCCCCUGUUUACACUAUUAACUCUUUGCACUCCUCUAGCAUGUGCCAGACAAAGGUUGAACGUGCUUACACUCCAAUGUUUUGCACUGCAAGACAUAAGUUUAGGAACCGAUAUUUUCAGUUUUUUUGGUAUUAUUGAGUGGAGGUCGCAU